UACAGAGACCUCAAGCGUUAUCCGGAAUCAUUGGGCGUAAAGCGUACCGAUAGGUGGUUGAAAUAGUCUUGGGUAAAAGCCAGAAGCUCAACUUCUGCGUUUGCUUAAGAUACUUUUCGACUAGAGGGGCAAAGAGGUGCUUGGAACGAAUGGUGUAGUAGUGAAAUGCGUUGAUACCAUUCGGAACACCGAAAGCGAAGGCAGGGCACUGGGUGCCACCUGACACUGCUAGGACGAAAGCGUGGGUAGCGAAUGGG
This 257-nucleotide ribosomal RNA is filed under the name uncultured bacterium. Its description in RNAcentral is "partial 16S ribosomal RNA". It matches the Rfam family "Bacterial small subunit ribosomal RNA", at positions 524 to 776 of the family's 1533-position model. The record is from RNAcentral.